This 71-nucleotide transfer RNA is filed under the name Hordeum vulgare. RNAcentral's name for it is "tRNA-OTHER". The record is from RNAcentral. Lineage: Eukaryota; Viridiplantae; Streptophyta; Magnoliopsida; Poales; Poaceae.
GUAGCGUAGCGUAGUGGUGCAGCGUGUGCUUGUGAAUCAGCUGCUCGUGGGUUCGAGUCCCGCGCGUGCCA